GACGAACGCUGGCGGCGUGCUUAACACAUGCAAGUCGAACGGAAAGGCCCUGCUUUUGUGGGGUGCUCGAGUGGCGAACGGGUGAGUAACACGUGAGUAACCUGCCCUUGACUUUGGGAUAACGUCAGGAAACUGGGGCUAAUACCGUAUAGGCGCUCCUGCUGCAUGGUGGGGGUUGGAAAGUUUCGUCGGUUGGGGAUGGACUCGCGGCUUAUCAGCUUGUUGGUGGGGUAGUGGCUUACCAAGGCUUUGCCGGGUGGCCGGCCUGAGAGGGUGACCGGCACAAUUGGGAACGGGAUAGGGCCAGUAGUCUCAGGGGAGGAGGAGUUGGGAAUAUUGCACAAUGGGCGGAAGCCUGAUGCAGCAACGCCGCGUGCGGGAUGACGGCCUUCGGGUUGUAAACCGCUUUCGCCUGUGACGAAGCGUGAGUGACGGUAAUGGGUAAAGAAGCACCGGCUAACUACGUG
Molecule: ribosomal RNA, 467 nt
Filed under: uncultured bacterium
Lineage: Bacteria
Description: partial 16S ribosomal RNA
Rfam family: Bacterial small subunit ribosomal RNA
Source: RNAcentral